CUUGUAUCCUACCUCUCCUCCAAUGUUAGUUGCUUCCUUCUCUCCUUGUUCCAUGGCCAGUUAAGACCAGAGACCAUCGCGAUGUUGCAAAGUCGUUAAGCACUCGUGAGUUGGUCGAGUUGCAGGAUUGGAGCCCGCGUACGUUGCAUAUAUUGCAGAUGGCGAUGCCGUGGGAGACGGCGGCGUGCAUCGCGCGCAGCGUGUGGGUGCUACUCGACUGCUGGGUCUGCACCUGCGUCCUCGCCGCCGAUGAGGCCGCGCGCCUCCUCCACUCGGUCACUGACUGAUCAACGUCUAACGCGCUGAUGGGCUUGUAGAUUAUGUAUGUGGAUAGCUGCGGCACAGACUGACCUACAGUAGAAUAUUUUUCCAUAACAUGUAAAUGGUGAAACUGCUUAUAUACCUUUUUGUUCCUUUUUUCUGAGAAUACAAAGAUUGUGUAUAGUAUGUGGCGAAAAAUACCAAUUGUCAAUAUUGUAUAUGCUUUUCAUUGUAUACACCAUGUAUACCUGUUGUUCUUUUUU
This is a long non-coding RNA of Phragmites australis (common reed), 524 nucleotides long. RefSeq lists it as uncharacterized. Lineage: Eukaryota; Viridiplantae; Streptophyta; Magnoliopsida; Poales; Poaceae. The record is from RefSeq and is a predicted model, not a curated record. The transcript is spliced from 2 exons.